CCUACGGGAGGCAGCAGUGGGGAAUAUUGGACAAUGGGCGAAAGCCUGAUCCAGCCAUGCCGCGUGUGUGAAGAAGGCCUUCGGGUUGUAAAGCACUUUCAGUGGGGAAGAAAGCCUUGGGGCUAAUACCCUCGAGGAAGGACAUCACCCACAGAAGAAGCACCGGCUAACUCCGUGCCAGCAGCCGCGGUAAUACGGAGGGUGCGAGCGUUAAUCGGAAUUACUGGGCGUAAAGCGCGCGUAGGCGGUCUGAUAAGCCGGUUGUGAAAGCCCCGGGCUCAACCUGGGAACGGCAUCCGGAACUGUCAGGCUAGAGUGUAGGAGAGGAAGGUAGAAUUCCCGGUGUAGCGGUGAAAUGCGUAGAGAUCGGGAGGAAUACCAGUGGCGAAGGCGGCCUUCUGGACUGACACUGACGCUGAGGUGCGAAAGCGUGGGUAGCAAACAGGAUUAGAUACCCUUGUAGUC
This 465-nucleotide ribosomal RNA is filed under the name Vreelandella stevensii. RNAcentral describes it as "partial 16S ribosomal RNA". It matches the Rfam family "Bacterial small subunit ribosomal RNA", at positions 338 to 795 of the family's 1533-position model. Lineage: Bacteria; Pseudomonadati; Pseudomonadota; Gammaproteobacteria; Oceanospirillales; Halomonadaceae. The record is from RNAcentral.